Molecule: long non-coding RNA, 1759 nt
Filed under: Anas platyrhynchos platyrhynchos (common mallard)
Lineage: Eukaryota; Metazoa; Chordata; Aves; Anseriformes; Anatidae
Description: lncRNA (ENSAPLG00000024598.1)
Source: RNAcentral
CAUGUACAGAUCCAGUCUAGGUGAAAUGAAAUAUAUGAAAAUUGUUCUUAUAUGGCUAGAAGCACAAAGAUUUUAGUUUCUUUUUCAAUGUAUGACAUCUAUUAUGUGUAUGUAAAGAAAAUAGAGUGCAGCUAGUUCACAGAUAAACUAUGCAGUACUGGUGGUAAAAGAAGACUAAAAAAAAUUUAGUUCUUGGGGACUUGUGAUUGUGGUAGUAAGUACCCUCCGUUCUUCUCCUUCUUUCUUUGUUUCCACCUUCUCAUUCUUUUUCCUUUCUUUUUCUUUCUCUCUCUCUCUUUUUUUCUUUUCUUUUCUUUUCUUUUCUUUUCUUUUCUUUUCUUUUCUUUUCUUUUCUUAAAAAAAAGACACGUGCAUGUUGUUUUUAGCUUGAAAAAUGCUAAUGAAAAAUCAACUAAUUAUCAAACCUGGAAAAUGUUUACUUUGGGGGAAAAUCUUUUAAAAUAGAAUUUCUAUUUUUUGGCAGUUCACUUUUUAAAUGGGUUAUUUAAUCUAUACUUCUACAGCACACAGCUUAUUGCAUUUUAUAUGGUUAUAUUGAAAUUACAUGAACUGGGGCACCUAAGGGAAUGUUUAUGUUUCAGAAAAAAAAUUGGGCUGGAUUGAAAUGCAGCAUGAAUCAUAAGAGUUUAGAAGCACAUGAAGAUGAAUGUGUCCCUAGUGACUCAACAGAGAACAUCUGUCACAGGAUUACCCCAGGUUGCAGUGAGCAGAGGUCUGGAGUGGGGUGGCAUCUAUGCAGGUCUACACGAUGCAUGCUGCAGGUAUGUACUGCUCAGCUCUUCCCCAGCCCUUUGUUCUCUCCAUACUUCUUAUAUCCACCUUCAUGUGUUCUCAUGUUUUCUCAUGCCCCUCAUGUUUUCUCUUUCUUUCUCCUUUAGUUCCUUCAUCCUUUUCAGCUGUGUUAUGUACCUGAAUGAACAGUUGGUUGAGAUGAUUAGAAGAACGGGUGAGAGGGGAACAUGAAAGCUAGGGAGAGGAAAAUUAUUACUUCUCAGUGUGUAACAUUUAUUAGUAUGUGUAACUCAUAAUAGUGUUCUGUUGUUAUUCCCAAAUUUCUGAAGCUUGCACCACUGCUCUCAAGGUGUUCCCAGCUUUCCAAAUACAUGUGAGCCUUGCAUUUGAAUGGUUUGUGGCAAAUUUGCUUUUUUACAAUGUUCUCCUUUUAAGAGCAAAUGAGAAGAAGCAGCUCAGAUUACUUCAAACUGAUAUUUAUUUAUUUAUUCAUUCAUUCAUUCUGAAGACUGAGUUACAGGGCUUUGAGUACCUACCAUCUAGAACUGUUGCAGGGAAAAAGUGUUUUCAGAGACUUCUGAAUCGACUGGUAUUCACAGUACAGGGAGUUCUGAAUCAACUGGUAUUCACAGUACAGCAGUGAAUGUUUCAAAUAAGUGCUUUGGGUUAGUCACCUACCACACCACAAAAUCCUUUUAUUUGAUAUAAUAUAAAAAACAGAAGCAAAAACAACAAGGAAAGGAUGUUAAUAGUGAUACAGGCUGAGAGAAAUGUUUUUGUUAUUACAGGACUGGAGGUAGAUUUGGAUACUGGCAUCCUGUCUGGAAGCUUGUGCUGUCAACUGGCUAACUGGCUAACUGAAUUCAGAGUAGAAUAGGUAAGUACAUAUACUGUGGUCGACCUUUAUGCAAAAAUACCUAAGAAGACAUGGGGUCAAACUGUGAACUGAAAUUGAGUACAAGUUAACAAUAAUAAAAACACUACGGUAGCAAAUUAAAUAUCUUGA